Molecule: long non-coding RNA, 411 nt
Filed under: Mus caroli (Ryukyu mouse)
Lineage: Eukaryota; Metazoa; Chordata; Mammalia; Rodentia; Muridae
Description: predicted gene 28793 (MGP_CAROLIEiJ_G0003211.1)
Source: RNAcentral
GGAGGCUCCCGGGCCCGGGCUGCCCCAGGCAGGCUGGCCUUUAAGGGCGGCCCCCUGUCGCCCAAAGGGAGUCGUUCUCCCCUCGCCUCUUUUCUUACCUAAACCCAUCCCUACACACACACACACACACACACACACACACACACACACACGCUCUCACAGCUUGGCGUGUUGUUUAAAACAGGUGGAAGACCUCUGUAAUGAUAUUAUGCCUUUCAAUAAAAAUUUUAUGAGGUGUAUUUGAUUAUAGAUUAAUGUGUCCCUAAUAAAACGGACGGAUGGAGCAGCUCGGAGUGCCCCUCCCUCUACCGCACUCACACUCCCGGGGCAGCCACACGUCCUUGAUCCACCCCCUUUCCAGUUUUCCCCUUGAGAGGUAAGGCCGGGCAGCCUUGAAUCUGAGAGAAAUGC